CACACACACACAUUGAUGCAGAGUGUGUUGAUGCCUGCCGAUCAAUAGUGGGCUAACCAAUAGGUCGAGCAUUGAUCACCAGUAAUGGAGAGCAUCAGUCUGACAGAAGCUUUUUUGUGUUCAGCAUGAAGUCAGCAGAGUUCCACUUCCUGUUGUGUGAAGCAGCAGGUAAACAACACAUUCAUCACAACGAGCAGACGCACACACCUGCACGCACCACCUGGACAAACAGGUUUAAACAGCACAGCAGCGGGAUGAAGAGCAGUCCAACAUCCUCGUCGUCCUCCUCAGUGUGUGUCUCAGAGAAGAAGCCGUCUCUGAAGCGGACAGAGUGGGUGAAGGUGCUGCUGGUGCAGAGGCUGAGCAUCUGCUCAACCCCUGGAGUCUCCUCUGACCUGUACAUGCUCAGAACCGGAGGUAGGAGAGUGGUGAGCUCAUCCUGAUUA
Oreochromis aureus is the source of this 446-nucleotide long non-coding RNA. NCBI's taxonomy places the organism in Eukaryota, Metazoa, Chordata, Actinopteri, Cichliformes, Cichlidae. The record is from Ensembl.